Molecule: unclassified non-coding RNA, 338 nt
Filed under: soil metagenome
Description: partial contains 5.8S ribosomal RNA, internal transcribed spacer 2, and large subunit ribosomal RNA
Rfam family: 5.8S ribosomal RNA (bases 1-120)
Source: RNAcentral
GAUGAAGAACGCAGCGAAAUGCGAUAAGUAAUGUGAAUUGCAGAAUUCAGUGAAUCAUCGAGUCUUUGAACGCACAUUGCGCCCCCUGGUAUUCCGGGGGGCAUGCCUGUCCGAGCGUCAUUGCUGCCCUCAAGCACGGCUUGUGUGUUGGGCUCCGUCCCCCCGGGGACGGGCCCGAAAGGCAGCGGCGGCACCGAGUCCGGUCCUCGAGCGUAUGGGGCUUUGUCACCCGCUCUGUAGGCCCGGCCGGCGCCAGCCGACAACCCAUCAUCCUUUUCAGGUUGACCUCGGAUCAGGUAGGGAUACCCGCUGAACUUAAGCAUAUCAAUAAGCGGGGA